RNAcentral lists this ribosomal RNA (468 nucleotides) under uncultured bacterium. Its description in RNAcentral is "partial 16S ribosomal RNA". It matches the Rfam family "Bacterial small subunit ribosomal RNA", at positions 28 to 507 of the family's 1533-position model. The record is from RNAcentral.
GACGAACGCUGGCGGCGUGCUUAACACAUGCAAGUCGAACGGAAAGGCCCUGCUUUUGUGGGGUGCUCGAGUGGCGAACGGGUGAGUAACACGUGAGUAACCUGCCCUUGACUUUGGGAUAACUUCAGGAAACUGGGGCUAAUACCGGAUAGGAGCUCCUGUUGCAUGGUGGGGGUUGGAAAGUUUCGGCGGUUGGGGAUGGACUCGCGGCUUAUCAGAGUGUUGGUGGGGUAGUGGCUUACCAAGGCUUUGACGGGUAGCCGGCCUGAGAGGGUGACCGGCCACAUUAGGACUGGAAUACGGCCCAGACUCCUACGGGAGGCAGCAGUGGGGAAUAUUGCACGAUGGGCGGAAGCCUGAUGCAGCAACGCCGCGUGCGGGAUGACGGCCUUCGGGUUGUAAACCGCUUUCGCCUGUGACGAAGCGUGAGUGACGGUAAUGGGUAAAGAAGCACCGGCUAACUACGUG